CAAAAUAUAGCUUGUUAGAAAAGCGCUUCACUUACGUUGAAGAGAGUUAUCGUGCAAAUCGAUUUAUUUUGA
RNAcentral lists this transfer RNA (72 nucleotides) under Trapezia septata. RNAcentral's name for it is "tRNA-Val". It matches the Rfam family "tRNA". Rfam says of the family: Transfer RNA (tRNA) molecules are approximately 80 nucleotides in length. Their secondary structure includes four short double-helical elements and three loops (D, anti-codon, and T loops). Lineage: Eukaryota; Metazoa; Arthropoda; Malacostraca; Decapoda; Trapeziidae. The record is from RNAcentral.